This 535-nucleotide long non-coding RNA is filed under the name Coturnix japonica (Japanese quail). RNAcentral describes it as "lncRNA (ENSCJPG00005001229.1)". The record is from RNAcentral. Lineage: Eukaryota; Metazoa; Chordata; Aves; Galliformes; Phasianidae.
CCAGCAAAUAAGGAAAAUUCCAUAAGGACAAUGGAAAUGUUUGAAUAUAUUUGUAAAAAAUAAAUAUUUCAUCAGUUCAGGUCUGACAAGAGUCCUAAAGGAUAUUGAUUGGUUACACGCUGCACGAUUGCAUCAAGCAUUGUUAAAAUGGGAAGAAGAAAAAAGCUAAAAUACCUUUCGUGUCCUAAAUACAUACACUCCUGAUCGAUUAAAGGAAUGAGUUCUAUCUCAAAUUCAUAUUUCAUAGUUAGAAUUUUGCAAUUAGAAAGUUGUCCUGAGCCCUGUCUCUUUUAUGAAACCUAUCGUGCAUUUGAAUUCCGUCUAUCAAACACCAGCAAAAAGCCACCAGAUGAUGAAUCUACCAGCUGGGAGAGUGGAUUCAGCAGACAAUCUGGGCAGCAACAAACAUUCCAGAAAGAGACUUCUGUAGAGCAGGCAGAGCUAUGUUUGGAGGAAUCAAAGAGCAGCAGCUGUUGGGGGCUUCUGUAAGGGAUUGCCAAGGAGUAAGUGGUGUUGGCUCCCUGGUGGAGGCAGG